GCUGCGCCGUGAGCCUGGAGCCCGCGCGGGCUCUGCUGCGCUGGUGGCGGAGCCCGGGGCCCGGAGCCGGCGCCCCCGGCGCGGCAUCACCCCUAUUUCAGAUGUGGACAGUAGGAGUGGGAAUUGACUGGGCCCAGAGGCAGUGAUGUACAGAGGGAGCUGGCUUUGAACCCAGGCACGUGCACUUUCGUCAGUGGGUCAUCAUGCUGGGACAGUGACUGACUGUACAAGAGCACAGACAAGGACUAGCAAUUUGGAUCGCUGCAGCUUCCUGGGCCUGGGUGAGGUCUGCACCUGAGGAAGCCGCGACAGCAAGUGCCCUGGGCCGCCAGCCUGGUGGGAAGUAGGGCAGGACGAAAACAGGAACUUGAAGUGGGUCAUGCUCGUUGAACUGGAAACACUGAGUUGAUAUCUGGGUUAUUUCCCCUGACUGU
This 434-nucleotide long non-coding RNA is filed under the name Homo sapiens (human). RNAcentral describes it as "non-protein coding lnc-CELSR1-1:1". The record is from RNAcentral. Lineage: Eukaryota; Metazoa; Chordata; Mammalia; Primates; Hominidae.